Molecule: ribosomal RNA, 419 nt
Filed under: uncultured Gemmatimonas sp.
Lineage: Bacteria; Pseudomonadati; Gemmatimonadota; Gemmatimonadia; Gemmatimonadales; Gemmatimonadaceae
Description: bacterial SSU rRNA
Rfam family: Bacterial small subunit ribosomal RNA
Source: RNAcentral
UGGGGAAUCUUGCGCAAUGGCCGAAAGGCUGACGCAGCGACGCCGCGUGGGGGAGGAAGGCCUUCGGGUUGUAAACCCCUGUUGCCCGGGACGAAUGCGCUCCAUUGGGGGCGUUGACGGUACCGGGUGAGGAAGCACCGGCUAACUCCGUGCCAGCAGCCGCGGUAAUACGGAGGGUGCAAGCGUUGUCCGGAAUCACUGGGCGUAAAGGGCGCGUAGGCGGCUCAUGAAGGCUGUGGUGAAAGUCCGGGGCUCAACCUCGGAUCGGCCGUGGCGACUCGUGGGCUGGAGCACUGUAGAGGCGGGUGGAAUUCCGGGUGUAGCGGUGGAAUGCGUAGAGAUCCGGAAGAACACCAGUGGCGAAGGCGGCCCGCUGGGCAGUGGCUGACGCUGAAGCGCGACAGCGUGGGGAGCAAACA